RNAcentral lists this ribosomal RNA (487 nucleotides) under uncultured bacterium. Its description in RNAcentral is "partial 16S rRNA". The record is from RNAcentral.
GCACGGAGUUAGCCGUUGCUUAUUCCUGAGGUACCGUCACUGCCUGGGCUUUCCACUCCCAAGCUCAUUCUUCCCUCAGAAAAGGACUUUACGACCCGAAGGCCUUCGUCAUCCACGCGGCAUGGCUGCGUCAAGCUUUCGCUCAUUGCGCAAUAUUCCCUACUGCUGCCACCCGUAGGUGUCUGGACCGUGUCUCAGUUCCAGUGUGGCCGAUCAACCUCUCAGCUCGGCUACCCAUCGGAGCCUUGGUGGGCUGUUAUCCCGCCAACUAGCUAAUGGGGGGCGGACUCAUCUUUCGGCGAGGCAAAAGCCCCUUUCCUUACCAGGUCAUAUGGCCUAGCAAUCGUAUGCGGUAUUAGCGGCCGUUUCCAGCCGUUAUCCCCCACCGAAAGGCAGAUUAUCCGCCUGUUACUCACCCGUUCGCCGCUGACAGUAUUGCUACUGUCCGCUCGACUUGCAUGUAUGAAGCCUGCCGCCAGCGUUCGUU